RNAcentral lists this transfer RNA (68 nucleotides) under Cadlina japonica. RNAcentral's name for it is "tRNA-Ile". Lineage: Eukaryota; Metazoa; Mollusca; Gastropoda; Nudibranchia; Chromodorididae. The record is from RNAcentral.
GGGUAGCCGCCGGAUGAACGGACGUCAUUGAUGUUGUCGAAUAUGGAGUUUAUAAACUCUGCUACCUU